CGGCUCAUCGCAUCCUGGGGCUGGAGCAGGUCCCAAGGGUUUGGCUGUUCGCCAAUUAAAGCGGUACGCGAGCUGGGUUUAGAACGUCGUGAGACAGUUCGGUCCCUAUCUGCCGUGGGCGCAGGAUACUUGAGGGGAGCUAUCCAUAGUACGAGAGGACCUGGAUGGACGAACCUCUGGUGCGCCGGUUGUCUUGCCAAAGGCAUAGCCGGGUAGCCAUGUUCGGAACGGAUAACCGCUGAAAGCAUCUAAGCGGGAAGCCGGCCCCAAGAUUAGGUAUCCCGGACUUCGGUCCCUAAAGACCCCUUGUAGACUACGAGGUUGAUAGGCCGGGUGUGGAAGUCGAGCAAUCGGCGGAGCUAACCGGUCCUAAUCGGUCGUGAGGCUUGGCCAU
Molecule: ribosomal RNA, 394 nt
Filed under: Polyangiaceae bacterium
Lineage: Bacteria; Pseudomonadati; Myxococcota; Polyangiales; Polyangiaceae
Description: partial 23S ribosomal RNA
Rfam family: Bacterial large subunit ribosomal RNA
Source: RNAcentral